Molecule: ribosomal RNA, 465 nt
Filed under: uncultured bacterium
Lineage: Bacteria
Description: partial 16S ribosomal RNA
Rfam family: Bacterial small subunit ribosomal RNA
Source: RNAcentral
GACGAACGCUGGCGGCGCGCCUAACACAUGCAAGUCGAACGAGCGAGAGGGAGCUUGCUUUCUCGAGCGAGUGGCGAACGGGUGAGUAACGCGUGAGGAACCUGCCUCAAAGAGGGGGACAACAGUUGGAAACGACUGCUAAUACCGCAUAAGCCCACGGUGCCGCAUGGCACAGAGGGAAAAGGAGCAAUCCGCUUUGAGAUGGCCUCGCGUCCGAUUAGCUAGUUGGUGAGGUAAUGGCCCACCAAGGCGACGAUCGGUAGCCGGACUGAGAGGUUGAACGGCCACAUUGGGACUGAGACACGGCCCAGACUCCUACGGGAGGCAGCAGUGGGGAAUAUUGCACAAUGGGGAAAACCUGAUGCAGCGACGCCGCGUGGAGGAAGAAGGUCUUCGGAUUGUAAACUCCUGUUGUUGGGGAAGAUAAUGACGGUACCCAACAAGGAAGUGACGGCUAACUACGUG